AGCGAACGCUGGCGGCAAGCUUAACACAUGCAAGUCGAACGAUGUAGCAAUACAUAGUGGCGGACGGGUGCAUAACACGUGGGUAUCUGCCUUUAGGUACGGAAUAACUCAGGGAAACUUGAGCUAAUACCGUAUAAUAUCUCUGGAUCAAAGAUUUAUCGCCUAAAGAUGAGCCCGCGGCAGAUUAGCUAGUUGGUGGGGUAAUGGCCUACCAAGGCGACGAUCUGUAGCUGGUCUUAGAGGAUGAUCAGCCACACUGGGACUGAGACACGGCCCAGACUCCUACGGGAGGCAGCAGUGGGGAAUAUUGGACAAUGGGGGCAACCCUGAUCCAGCUAUGCCGCGUGAGUGAUGAAGGCCUUAGGGUUGUAAAGCUCUUUUAGAUGGGAAGAUAAUGACGGUACCAUCAGAAAAAGCCCCGGCUAACUUCGUGCCAGCCGCCGCCGUAA
This 449-nucleotide ribosomal RNA is filed under the name uncultured bacterium. RNAcentral's name for it is "partial 16S ribosomal RNA". It matches the Rfam family "Bacterial small subunit ribosomal RNA", at positions 29 to 523 of the family's 1533-position model. The record is from RNAcentral.